Long non-coding RNA from Brassica napus (rape), 1220 nucleotides. RefSeq lists it as uncharacterized. The record is from RefSeq and is a predicted model, not a curated record. The transcript has 3 exons. NCBI's taxonomy places the organism in Eukaryota, Viridiplantae, Streptophyta, Magnoliopsida, Brassicales, Brassicaceae.
UAUGACAGUUCUGCUAUUGUAUACCAACACUUAUUUUUUUUAUAGCGUUUGUCAAUUUAAAACGCUAUAAUUGCUAUCGCGGGAAAAUAAAAAAAUUUAGCCGCGUUAAUUAGUUAAGUGUAGGUGCCUUACCAUUGCAGAUCCAAAAUUAAGCGCUAUCAUACAUUGAGGCAAAAAAAAUCAUUUUUGCCGCCAGAUACUUAUUUAAAAAACAUGGUGUCUAAUUUUUUUCAUUUUCCCUCUCAUCUUCGUUUUUUCAUCUUCCCUCUCAUUCUAUUUUCUUUCUCAACCCUCCAAAAAACCUAAACCUUAAAACCCUAAAACCUAAAUCCUAUACCCUAAACUUAAAAAUCAACCCUAAAACUUAGAUAUUUUCUUAUUUUAAUCUUAAAUCUUAAGUUUAAAUAUAUUCGAGUUUUAACCUUUUAAAAAUUUAAUUCCAAAUAUUAAACUAAAUCCAACGGCCAAUAAUGAACAAACUGAAAAUGCGUUUCUUCCUACCCUCCUAUUCUCCUAUCCUCCUAUCCUCCGUAUUCUCUUUUUUUUUUCUGUCUAGCUUCUUCAUCCUUACACAAAAUCACCCCAUAAAAAAAAUCUUUCACAACCACCAUCACCAUAACCUCCGACGCCGCCAUCUCUAUCUCCUCGUUCUCUACCUCCGUCUCUGCGACCAUCAUCUUUAUCUCCACCUCCUCGUUCUCUACCUCCGCCAAUGAACUCUGUCUCAACCGCUCUUUUUAUCUAUCCUCUUCUAAAAGCUUCUUCUUUUCCAGAUGCAUAUUCAUGGUCUUAGUUAACACCAACCGUAUCUCAGGGACGGGGAAGAGGAAGUGGAAUUGAUAAUGGGGCUUGUGGUUAUUCUUGUUCUCGUAGUGUCACAACAUUGAACGGAAGAAGCCGAAUAUGAAGAAGCUGUGCUGGUGGAGAUGGAGCCGAGCAAGAAGAAGAAAAAGAGAAAGAGGGAGAAGACAGAGACGUAAGGAAGAUGAAGAAGAUGGAAGAGGACGACGGUGGCGACAUGACACACGAUGGGAGGAAAGCAGCGGCGUAGAUUAGGUUUAGUUUUGGUUGGUUUAUUAGGUUUGGUUUAGAUAUGGUUAAUUUAAUAAGUCAGGUUUGUGUGUAAAUCAAUGUUAAUAAAUAAACUGAUAUUAGUUGUAAACCAAUUCUUUGUAUAUUGAUUUUAAUUAAUAAAUAAAAUUUAAUUUUUAAUUAUGAAA